UCCUGCAUGUGAACGUGACUCUGGGUGAUCCUGAUCAUUGAUAGUUCAGGGAGAGGAAUUGCUAAAGUGCGUCUUGUGUUUAGAGGUCCACACCUGUCCCCUGUCCCUUCCAAACCCUGGAACUCUCCCUCA
Molecule: small nucleolar RNA, 132 nt
Filed under: Loxodonta africana (African savanna elephant)
Lineage: Eukaryota; Metazoa; Chordata; Mammalia; Proboscidea; Elephantidae
Description: Small nucleolar RNA SNORA71 (ENSLAFG00000033049.1)
Source: RNAcentral